AAUAGAUACCCAGGUAGUCCACGCCGUAAACGAUGAGUGCUAAGUGUUAGAGGGUUUCCGCCCUUUAGUGCUGCAGCUAACGCAUUAAGCACUCCGCCUGGGGAGUACGGUCGCAAGACUGAAACUCAAAGGAAUUGACGGGGGCCCGCACAAGCGGUGGAGCAUGUGGUUUAAUUCGAAGCAACGCGAAGAACCUUACCAGGUCUUGACAUCCUCUGACAACUCUAGAGAUAGAGCGUUCCCCUUCGGGGGACAGAGUGACAGGUGGUGCAUGGUUGUCGUCAGCUCGUGUCGUGAGAUGUUGGGUUAAGUCCCGCAACGAGCGCAACCCUUGAUCUUAGUUGCCAGCAUUCAGUUAGGCACUCUAAGGUGACUGCCGGUGACAAACCGGAGGAAGGUGGGGAUGACGUCAAAUCAUCAUGCCCCUUAUGACCUGGGCUACACACGUGCUACAAUGGAUGGUACAAAGAGCUGCGAACCCGCGAGGGUAAGCGAAUCCCAUAAAGCCAUUCUCAGUUCGGAUUGUA
RNAcentral lists this ribosomal RNA (527 nucleotides) under uncultured bacterium. Its description in RNAcentral is "bacterial SSU rRNA". It matches the Rfam family "Bacterial small subunit ribosomal RNA", at positions 777 to 1302 of the family's 1533-position model. The record is from RNAcentral.